GAGAGUAAAACAGUACGUGAAAUUGUUGAAAGGGAAACGCUUGAAGUCAGUCGUGCCGGCGUUGGAUUCAGCUUGCUUCGCGGAGCAGGCGUAUUUCCGCGCAUGGCAGGUCAGCGUCGAUUUCGGAGGUUGUAAAAUACUUGGGGGAAAGUAACUCUGCUUCGGGAGAGUAUUAUAGACCCUGGGGGAUGCAGCCUGCGGGAUCGAGGAUUGCAGCAAAUGCCUUUGGCUUGUCGCCUGAUCUCUGGAUGUUACCUCGCUUUUGACAACAUUCUUGCCACUUGUGGGUACUAAUGCCCAUUAGGUUAGAGCGAUCAAAAAUUUUGCUAAGGAUGCUGACGUAAUGGCUUUAAACGA
RNAcentral lists this ribosomal RNA (357 nucleotides) under uncultured Glomeromycetes. RNAcentral's name for it is "partial 28S ribosomal RNA". The record is from RNAcentral. Lineage: Eukaryota; Fungi; Glomeromycota; Glomeromycetes.